Molecule: transfer RNA, 361 nt
Filed under: uncultured Microcystis sp.
Lineage: Bacteria; Bacillati; Cyanobacteriota; Cyanophyceae; Chroococcales; Microcystaceae
Description: partial miscellaneous RNA
Rfam family: tRNA (bases 135-208)
Source: RNAcentral
AAGGGAGACCUAAUUCAGGUAGGAGACGAAAAAAAAGUAGUCCCUACCAAGAAUCAAUCCCAAAAGGUCGGAGCGAGGCGAAAUUGGCUUUCAAACUAGGUUCUGGGUUCACACAAGACCUGAAUCAGGAACAAGGGCUAUUAGCUCAGGUGGUUAGAGCGCACCCCUGAUAAGGGUGAGGUCCCUGGUUCGAGUCCAGGAUGGCCCACCUGCACAGGUGGCAAAAACAAGAGAAGCGAGGAAUCAGCACCUUAUCUUAUCUAUAUAUAAGAGAGAAUGCUGGCUCUGAGUAAAGAGUCCAGAGGAACCUUGAAAACUGCAUAGAGCUAGGUGAAAAAGCCAAAAAAGAAGACCGCCUCAA